GUUUAGUUAAAUUUCUUAUUAUUAUUUUUUAUAUUUAAAUUACUUUUAAUUUUCUCAGUAUUAUUUAGAAAAGAUCAAUUAUUCAAAACUGUGAAGGUUUUUAGUAUAGGCAUUAAAUAGUUUUUAUUAGUACCUUUUGUAUCAGGGUAAAUUUAUUAAAUUAGUAAUUUCUUAAUUUCCCGAAUUAAAAAGUUUAAUGAGUAUAUUUAUUUACUUGUUUCAUUAAGUUUUAUAAUAUAUUUGUAGUAGUUAUAUGUUAGUCGUUUUUUGUUUAUCUGGUUGUUAAGGAAAUUAAUUAAAUUAAUCAUUGUUUUGUUGUAAAUAAAAUUUAUUUAUUAUGAAUUAUGAUAAGUUAUUAGGGAUAAUCUUAAUAAUUAAUUAAUACAAUUUUGUUAUAAUAGAUGUUUAAUAACUUUGAAAUUUUGUAUUGAGUUUAUACUAAAUUUUCAUCUUUUAUUAUAAUUUUUUUAUAUUUAUUUUUGUACUUAACUUUUUAAUAUAAUUAUUUUUUUAUUUUAAUAAUUAUUUAAUUAGUAUAAUUAUUAUAUUUAAUUGUAUGAAUUCGACAAAUUUUAUUUCCAACUGUUUAACAAAAACAUUUCUUUUUGUCUUUUAUAAAAGGUAAUUUCUGCCCUAUGGUUUUUCUAAAUGGCUGCAGUAUUUUGACUGUGCAAAGGUAGCAUAGUAAUUAGUUUCUUAAUUAGGAGCUGGUAUGAAUGAAUUAAUGAGAAACAUAUUUUAUUAUUUUAAUUAUUAGAAUUUAAAUUUUAAGUUAAAAUGCUUAAUUAUUUUCUAGGGACGAUAAGACCCUAUAGAACUUUAUAUUAAUUUUUUUAGUUAACUUUUGUUUUUAAUAUUUAUCUAAAUUUAUUAAUAAUUUUCUGGGGUGGAAAAUAAAUUUUAACUUUAUUUUUAUAUUUCAAUAAUUUUUGUUUAUUAUGAUCCUAAUGGAAAUAAGAAUAAGUUACCUUAGGGAUAACAGCGUAAUUUUAGUGGGGAGUUCACAUCUAUACUAAUUUUGCGACCUCGAUGUUGAAUUAAGGUUAGAUUAAGAAGCAGAAUUCUUUUUUCUAAGUCUGUUCGACUUUUAAAACCUUACAUGAUUUGAGUUCAAACCGGCGUGAGCCAGGUUGGUUUCUAUCUUAGAAUAAAAUUUACUAUUUAGUACGAAAGGACCAUUAGUAUACACUUAAGUGUUUAUUUUUACA
This 1208-nucleotide ribosomal RNA is filed under the name Exitianus indicus. Its description in RNAcentral is "16S ribosomal RNA". The stretch from base 792 to 1147 matches the Rfam family "Archaeal large subunit ribosomal RNA", at positions 2153 to 2718 of the family's 2987-position model. The record is from RNAcentral. Lineage: Eukaryota; Metazoa; Arthropoda; Insecta; Hemiptera; Cicadellidae.